RNAcentral lists this ribosomal RNA (465 nucleotides) under uncultured bacterium. Its description in RNAcentral is "partial 16S ribosomal RNA". It matches the Rfam family "Bacterial small subunit ribosomal RNA", at positions 28 to 507 of the family's 1533-position model. The record is from RNAcentral.
GACGAACGCUGGCGGCGUGCUUAACACAUGCAAGUCGAGCGAGGCCCCUCCUUCGGGAGGGUGUCCUAGCGGCGAACGGGUGAGUAACACGUGGGCAACCUGCCCUCAGCUCUGUGAUAACUCCGGGAAACCGGGGCUAUUACCGGAUACGACCUCCACGGGCAUCUGCGGAGGUGGAAAGUUUUUCGGCUGAGGAUGGUCCCGCGGCCUAUCAGCUAGUUGGUGGGUUAGUGGCCCACCAAGGCGGCGACGGGUAGCCGGCCUGAGAGGGCGACCGGCCACACUGGGACUGAGAGACGGACCAGAGUCGAACGGGAGGCAGCAGGGGGGAAUAUGGCGCAAUGGGAGAAAGCCUGACGAAGCGACGCCGCGUGAGGGACGAAGGCCUUCGGGUUGUAAACAGCUUUCAGCAGGGACGAAGCGAAAGUGACGGUACCUGCAGAAGAAGCACCGGCCAACUACGUG